UGGGUGUUAGUUGGCUAUGUGGGCUUCACCUAUUCUUCUUUACAACAGCGCUGUUUUUUUUAUUUUUCAAUUUUCCCCUCUCCGACCCUCUCUUCUCCUUCGAUUCCUCUCAUCCCUCUCUUGGAUCCCUCUCAGACCCUUUGUCCUUGGACCACUCUCAGACCCUCUCCCGUUGGACCCCUCCCAGACCCUCUCUAAUUCGACCCCUCUCAGAGCCUCUGUCCUUCGACCCCUCUCACACCCGACGGCCAAGCCAUUCCUGCAGACGACGGCCUAGCCCCCCAUACCCCUCGCAGACCUUAGAUCUCGCCACCGCUAGAGAGUAGAAGGUCAGCCUUCGAGCUUCGCGCCUGCGUCAACGGUCUCUCUCUCUCUCUCUGUGUGCAAACCCCCUCAGAUCUCGAACCUUAUUAGAAGUCGUAAUUUGAUGACGACUACACAGAGUUCGCUUCCCCCGGCUCAGACGUCAGCUGCCACUGCUCUAGCGCAGAUAGACCACUUGCUGGUUGGUCCCGGAGUCUCUCAUGCACCGGCAUCAUUAGCGUCAUUAGUGGUGCAACAUGUUAGGGCCAGGCGUCGUCACUGCCACGCUAGCACCACCGACACUACAUCGACAGACGUUACUGAUGCGUCGGGGUCACAGCCAGCCAAGAAGAAUACCCGGAGGCCGUGUCGGCAGUUGAAGACGACGUAGGUCACCCGGGUGACCAAUAGUCGUAUCAACAUCGGAUACGACGAGUGGCAUUGGGUUGCACUGACGGCGGAGUUGCAUAGCUCAUUGGCCCACGACUUUGGUCAUGUCGUUCGGACCUAUUGCCCGAUGUAAUGGAAGUCUUGGAAGGUCAUGCCUGCCGAGAUCCAGAUGGAGGUGCGCGGACAGUUGUCGACGAACUACAACUUAGAGGACCUCGAUGAC
Long non-coding RNA from Prunus persica (peach), 916 nucleotides. RefSeq lists it as uncharacterized. The record is from RefSeq and is a predicted model, not a curated record. Lineage: Eukaryota; Viridiplantae; Streptophyta; Magnoliopsida; Rosales; Rosaceae. The transcript is spliced from 4 exons.